RNAcentral lists this unclassified non-coding RNA (1090 nucleotides) under Hevea brasiliensis (rubber tree). Lineage: Eukaryota; Viridiplantae; Streptophyta; Magnoliopsida; Malpighiales; Euphorbiaceae. The record is from RNAcentral.
CGACGGCGAUUUCUUGGUCUCUGUCGAGAAUCAGAAAGUAUUGAUCAGGGUGAUUUCAUUUGAAGAAGAGAUGGAGCAGAGCCCGGCACCAUUUUCCGAAAUCGGCAGGCGGGCAAGAGAUCUACUGACCAAAGAUUACAGUUAUGAUCAGAAGUUCACCUUCUCUAUUCCGAGCUCCAGUGGGAUGGGAAUAACAGCUACUGGUGUGAAGAAAGAUCAAAUUUUUAUUGGUGAUAUAAGUACUCAAUAUAAGCUUGGAAGUACAGUUGUUGAUAUCAAAGUUGAUACCUAUUCCAAUGUCUCAACAAAAGUUACACUGGUUGAUGUUUUCCGAUCCACGAAACUGUCCUUAGGCUUCAACAUACCUGAUCACAAGUCUGGCAAGCUCGAUGUUCAGUACCUUCAUCAGCAUGCUGCUAUCAAUUCCAGUAUUGGCUUAAAUCCCUCCCCUCUCUUGGAGCUCUCGGUUGCUAUUGGCAACAAGGAUUUAGCCCUUGGUGGAGAAAUAGGAUUUAAUACUGCUUCAUCUUCUUUUACGAAGUGCAAUGCUGGGCUUAGUUUUAACAAACCGGAUUUUUCUGCUGCACUUAUGUUAACGGAUAGGGGACAAGCUGUGAAGGCAUCAUAUGUACACUUGGUAGAUCCAACAAAUGGAACUGAAGUAGGUGCAGAGAUGAUACACAGAUUAUCUACCUACGAGAACAGCUUCAGCAUCGGGAGUGCUCACAAGGUCGACUCAUUAACAUCGUUGAAGACUAGAUUUUCUGACAAUGGGAAAGUUGCAAUGCUUUACCAGCGGGAAUGGAGGCCAAAGUCACUUGUUACUUUCUCAGCCGAGUACGACACAAAGGCAAAGAGUUCAGUACCCAAGUUAGGUCUUGCCCUUGCUUUGAAGCCAUAAAAACUGCACUCUCUCUAAUUCAUCCAAUUUUACUUUGAUAGCUUGACUUUGUUAAAAAUUCUUUCAAAAGGCCACAAGUGUUGUUGCCCUUGCUUUGAAGCCAUAAAAACUGCACUCUCUCUAAUUCAUCCAAUUUUACUUUGAUAGCUUGACUUUGUUAAAAAUUCUUUCAAAAGGCCACAAGUGUUG